This 322-nucleotide unclassified non-coding RNA is filed under the name Hevea brasiliensis (rubber tree). Lineage: Eukaryota; Viridiplantae; Streptophyta; Magnoliopsida; Malpighiales; Euphorbiaceae. The record is from RNAcentral.
UGGUGUGACUGUUGCUAAAGAGGUAUGAUAUUUCUCAAUUCUUGUAGUGUUUUGUUGUCUAUACAACUUGAAGCAGAUGGUAGUUAUCUAAAUUUUAUUUUUUAUGUGGAUGUUAAUUUAGAUACAGGAGUAGGUGCUUUGCAUCUUGUGUGAUGGUCAUGACAUUUCAACUUUUCCAUAUAUUCCCAUCGUGACAACUGUGGUUAUUUUCUAUUCUAUGUUAGGUUUGUUUCCCCCUUUUCACAAUUUGUAGGUGAACAUUCUAUGUUAUUGAUCAAAUGCUACACCUGAAUUUUCUAGGUUGAAUUGGAGGAUCCGGUUG